CCAGAUUGCAUAGUUGCAGACUAAAAUUUAGCCAACGACGUACAUGUCUACAUGAGUUCAUUUUUAAUUUUUGAGAGAAUACUAGAAAUCAUAGAGACAAUCUAAAAAUAAAUAAUUUGUGCAGUGUGCACUUCACAACGGACGUUCUACUAUUUUCGCAGGUGUUGAAAGCUGAAAAUGGUAAAUUUUUUAAUCUGCUCGGAAAUAAAGCGAAUCCGGAAUUGGCUUUACCCCAUCACGAUGGAUCGAUCUUUCCUGUCCACCGUCGUAAUAUUCGAAAAAUGAAAAUUCGGAAUGGAUACCAUACAAUUUUUCUCCUCUGCAGUUUGCUCCAACUUUCGAAUCAGACAAACUUCCUACACGGUUAACUCCCAAUCUACAACAACGGGGAACUCCCUGUCAACUUCCAACAGCGUCCGGAAUAUAGGGAGGACUUAUAAUUUUUAAAAGGGUUGGCAGUUGGCUAUAGGAGCAGCGCAUCAUCCAUCAAGAAACACAGGUGGCAACAACAUCCUGCGAAUAUCCUUUAAUUAUUCCUGCGGCGAUUCAGUAUAAAAAGACUGAUGCUCCACAACACGACAGCGCUGGCAACAUUGUGAAUGAGUGAUGAUCCCUGUGCGAUCAAUAAUAGUCCGCAUACUGCUUCUCACUACUGCGGAACAUGGAUGGGUUGCAACCGCGCACACUGAACGUCUAAUGAAGCCAUUUUAUUCCGGUUAAAAGCCAGCAACAAAAUUAUACAAGCGGUUUCAAACUUAAUCAAACUUUCAGUGGAAUUAGCCGGAAGGCGAAAUCCUGGUUAUACCAAAUGCAUCAGGAAAAAAUGUAGAGAGAAAACAAUUAAAAAUUCCAUCUCAUCGGUCAUCGGGGGCCUACGUCACACUGCUGGCCAGACACAGACCAGCGGAGGACUUCACUCAAUCUUGGCCAAGAAAAGCAGUUAGCAACGGAAUUCAACAUGUUGGAGCGUGAACUUCACGAUUUUUGCCGACCUUCACCUUUCGUUUUUUUUUCCUUGCCCAAAAGCCAAAAACACGGAACGCAAAAAAAUGACGACAUUUGUAAAUUUCCAGACUAUUUUACACAAAAAUAGUUUUAUUGUUGCACGUAUCGAUCUUAUCCGAGCGAUGCAGCGAUACAGCCCGACAAAAGAAAAAAAAAGUACAUGUCAAAAGUUCUGAUUGAUAUGGUCCAAUAUAUUUCAUACAGUGGACGGUGGCGCCAUCAAUUUCCGGGAUCAAUUCAACUUAAUCAGUUCGUCUUGCUUCGAAGUUUUGACAAAUGAGGAAUUACGAUGCCAGUCAGUGUGGCAAAACUUAAAAGGAUCACCACCAGUCAGACAUCCCUCAACAGUUUUCAGAAUUUCUUCAGCUGCUCAACUGCUUCUGUGUUACCGUAGAAGUGUCGGUGAUGAAGUCAACUCAUGUGACACAAAUCUCUUUCGAGCAGAUAAUGAGGAUCCACUACAUUUCGGUGAGUCCACAAAAUUUUUUUGUUUAUAGACACGAGUCACGUAAACACAUGCCCAAGGCUUCAAGCUCUGCUAGCUGCUAGCCCACAUGUUUAUAUCAGCAUAGUAUUUCGAUCAAGGUUACGCAAGGUAUCUCUCGAAUUCGUCCGGGUCUCUCGUUUUUCAACGGUAUAGUGAUUGCUCCGUAAAAUUUUAAAACUUUAAUUCUUCAGAAUGCAAUUUCGAUUGCAAUGGGAUCUUCUCAUCUUCAUACACAUUGUAAGUCAAUAGCGUAAUUAAAAAGUUAAAGCAGUAACAUGGGAAGCAUCGGAUUUUAAACGGUGGACUAUUCCAAAGCCUGUGGCUGCUUUUUCAUGAAGUGAAGUAAAACACUAUUCGCAAUUCUUUUCCCUUUUUUCCCCCGUUUCAAUGGGAACAUUUCAAGUCACAUGUGGAGACGAUUGGCCCAGUAAAUAUUUCGUAGCUUUCUACUGGUGCUUAGCAAAACCACAGUUAGAAUGCAGUAUGAAUCGUCGAAACCCUUUACUGUUGAUGACAAAAAUAUCUUCACCGAGUUGAUUUUGAAUUAUGUAAGGGGUUGUCAUAGCCCUGAGAACUUCUGAUUCGUUUAACCCUGCAUCGAAACAAUUUUUACACUUUCCGUUCCUACUUGUAACCUUGAUUUCAGUGCGAUUUGCCACUGAUUCUUUAAAGAUUUUUCCUUUUGAUGUUGACGAUGUCCGUUGACGUACGAACGAUGACACCGUAAAAUUGAUUUUCUGUUGAGCAAUUUUUUUUUAAAGACCAACCAAUUUUAAAGCGAGGCUUUUUUUCGAGGAAAAAUCAUUUGUUGCCAUGAAAUACUCAGCAAAAGGUCUCCACCAUUCUCUUUUUUUUUUCGCGCUAGUUUUUCAUGCAACUAAAUUGAACACAAUUGCAGACAAUUGUUAGUCCUUUUUUUGUUUUCUCGUCUUGUUCGAUAUCAGACUAAAAUAUAAUGGUUUCUUCCCUUCCAACGAAAGGUCGACAUCUUUCUUUGCUGAAAAGAUUGUUGUAAUUGUUGGAUUUCUUAUAGAAGCUUCUGAAUUUGUCGUGUUCGACGAUUACGAUUCGGCGAUUAAUUGAAUAUUCUUUUCAUAAUACUCAUUCAAAUUGCACUUUGAUUUGACCUUGUUCACUAAAGUCUUCCAGUUGGUAAGACAAUUAGGAAAUCUCCAAUUGAAGUAAGCCAUUGAGAGGUUGUCACAAUAAAUUUGUGUUUUUUUUAUGAUUUUUUUAAAGUGAGCCACAGUUUCAUGAUAUUACCUCUAGUAGAAUCCGUCUAGUGUGAUGCCAAUCCUGUAGCUCGUCUCCAAAGUUUUUACAGCAAAACGAGCAAACAGAUGGUCAUAAAAAUUGAUAGCGACAAAU
Molecule: long non-coding RNA, 2860 nt
Organism: Daphnia pulicaria
Lineage: Eukaryota; Metazoa; Arthropoda; Branchiopoda; Diplostraca; Daphniidae
Exons: 10
Source: RefSeq, a predicted model, not a curated record